AUGACCACCAUUCGAGUGUUACUUUCCUUGGCUGCCUCUUAUGGUCUUAUCAUUCAUCAAAUGGAUGUAAAGACAGCUUUUCUCAAUGGAGAGUUGGAAGAGGAGAUCUAUAUGGAUCAGCCUGACGGGUUUGUGGUAAAGGGUGAAGAGAGAAAGGUGUGCAAGUUGUUAAAAUCUUUGUAUGGUCUGAAACAGGCACCUAAGCAAUGGCAUGAGAAGUUUGAAAGAACUUUGACUUCUGCAGGAUUUGUCAUUAACGAGGCUGAUAGGUGUGUCGAUAGUGUCAUAUUAUGUUUGUAUGUGGACGACAUACUGAUCUUUGGUACAAACAUUAAUGCAAUUAAUGAGGUCAAGUCUUUUCUAUCAAAAAGUUUUGACAUGAAAGAUCUGGGAGAAGCCGAUGUAAUUCUAAACAUCAAACUUAUUAAGGAUGAGAGUGGGAUUACAUUAACGCAAUCUCACUAUGUUGAGAAGGUCUUGAACCGAUUCGGUUUUAUGGAUAGCAAGCCUUCUCCAACACCUUAUGAUCCCAGCGUGACACUCAGAAAGAACAAGAAAGAAACGAGAGAUCAAUUAAGAUACUCUCAAAUUGUCGGUUCACUCAUGUACUUAGCUAGCGCUACAAGACCAGAUAUCUCUUUUGCUGUGAGCAAACUGAGUAGGUUCAUGUCCAACCCGGGUGAUGAUCAUUGGCAUGCACUAGAAAGGGUCUUGCGCUAUCUGAGAGGUACUAUGAGUUACGGAAUUACUUAUUCAGGGCAUCCUGCUGUGCUAGAAGGAUAUAGUGAUUCAAAUUGGAUCUCCGAUGUUGAUGUACUUUACGCAACAAGUGGGUAUGUAUUUACUUAUGGUGGUGGCGCAGUGUCAUGGAGGUCUUGUAAGCAAACCAUAUUGACGAGGUCAACUAUGGAAGCAGAAUUAACUGCUUUAGACACAGCUACUGUUGAGGCAGAAUGGCUGCGUGAGCUCUUGAUGGACUUGCCGGUUGUUGAAAAACCUGUACCGGCUAUUCUUAUGAAUUGUAAUAACCAAACGGUUAUCGCUAAAGUGAACAAUUCUAAAGAUAAUGCAAAGUCAUCAAGACAUGUGAAAAGACCCAUAGCAAUUUCUGAAAUCUCAAAGCCCAUGUGUAAAAUGGCAAGUGGUGGUGCUAAGUUUAGUCCCACCUUGGAAGUUGAAGAAGACUUCCUUUUGCCG
RNAcentral lists this ribosomal RNA (1197 nucleotides) under Triticum aestivum (bread wheat). RNAcentral describes it as "partial small subunit ribosomal RNA". Lineage: Eukaryota; Viridiplantae; Streptophyta; Magnoliopsida; Poales; Poaceae. The record is from RNAcentral.